UAGGGAAUCUUCGGCAAUGGGGGGAACCCUGACCGAGCAACGCCGCGUGAGUGAAGAAGGUUUUCGGAUCGUAAAGCUCUGUUGUUAAGGAAGAACGAGUGUGAGAAUGGAAAGUUCAUGCUGUGACGGUACUUAACCAGAAAGGGACGGCUAACUACGUGCCAGCAGCCGCGGUAAUACGUAGGUCCCGAGCGUUGUCCGGAUUUAUUGGGCGUAAAGCGAGCGCAGGCGGUUAGAAAAGUCUGAAGUGAAAGGCAGUGGCUCAACCAUUGUAAGCUUUGGAAACUGUUUAACUUGAAUGCAGAAGGGGAGGGUGGAAUUCCAUGUGUAGCGGUGAAAUGCGUAGAUAUAUGGAGGAACACCGGUGGCGAAAGCGGCUCUCUGGGCUGUAACUGACGCUGAGGCUCGAAAGCGUGGGGAGCGAACAGG
RNAcentral lists this ribosomal RNA (429 nucleotides) under Verrucomicrobiota bacterium. Its description in RNAcentral is "Verrucomicrobia bacterium partial 16S ribosomal RNA". It matches the Rfam family "Bacterial small subunit ribosomal RNA", at positions 355 to 776 of the family's 1533-position model. Lineage: Bacteria; Pseudomonadati; Verrucomicrobiota. The record is from RNAcentral.